Notolabrus celidotus (New Zealand spotty) is the source of this 446-nucleotide long non-coding RNA. RefSeq lists it as uncharacterized. Lineage: Eukaryota; Metazoa; Chordata; Actinopteri; Labriformes; Labridae. The record is from RefSeq and is a predicted model, not a curated record. The transcript is spliced from 3 exons.
CUCUGUCCCUGUAAAAACCCUCCAGCUGGAGGCUGCGGACGGUCAGCCACUUGCUGGCUGUCAGCUCUGAUGUGAGCUGCAGCGUGUGGAGCUGCUGCUGGCUCAGUUUAUGUGAGGUGUAGAUGUAAAGCCACGGUGUGUCCAUGUUAAAUGUGCCUGAACAAUAUGAAGACAGACAGGGCGUCUUUGGGUGGGCUUUUCCAGUGUAGUCCAGCCACCAACGGCAUCAGGUUGUUGUAGUUGACCUUAAGUCAUCAGACUACAGUCAGAGUCAAGUCCCAAGUCAUUGAUGCCAAAGUCCAAGUCGAGUUCCAAGUCUUUGAUGAUAUUGUCAAGUCGAGUCCAAAGUCAUCAAAAUUGUGACUCGAGUCUGACUUGAGUUCAAGUCGCAUAACUCAAGUCCACACCUCUGGUUUUCUGCCUCCUCUGCCUCCUCUCUGUGUUUG